Molecule: long non-coding RNA, 895 nt
Filed under: Marmota monax (woodchuck)
Lineage: Eukaryota; Metazoa; Chordata; Mammalia; Rodentia; Sciuridae
Source: RNAcentral
CAACAACUGCAGAUUAUCAAAACAAUGUUUAUAGUACAAUGUUGUAUCUAUCUUUCACCUAGUAGGGCUUGCAUUCUAUGUAAACACUGUAGUUCAGUUGUGAAGGGUUUUUUUGUUGUUGUUGUUGAACAAAUUCUCAAUGUUUAAUAUAUUACUUGAGGCAAGCAUAUUACCCCUUAAAACUUUUUUUUCCAGUACUGGCAUUGAACCCAAAAGAGUGUUCCAUCACUGAACUACAUCUCCAGCUCUUUUUAUUUUGAUUUUUUAUUAUUUAGUACUGGUGGUUGAAACCAAGGGCGCUCUGCCAUUGACUACAUCCCCAGCCUUUUUUUAUUUUUUGUUUUGAGACAGGGCCUCACUAAGUUGCUAAGGGUGGCCUUAAACUUGUGAUCUGCCUGCCUCAGCCUCCUGAAUUGCUAGGAUUACAGGCGUGUAUCACUGCACUGGGCCCUAGCCCUUUUUAUUUAAUUUUUGCUUUGUUUUGUUUUUGAGACAGGAUCUCACUAAACUGCUGAGUCUGGUCUCAAACUUGCAAUCUUCCUGUCUCAGCCUCCUGAGUAGCAGGGAUCACAGGUGUGUGCUACCACACCCAAAUAAAACUAAAUUUAUUUCUGUGACCUGAAGAUUGUUUACGACAUUGACCAAUGAUGACCAGAGUUUUGCUUUUUCUUUCUGUUCUAUAUGCAUUCUAUUUAUUUAUUUUCUUUACCUUAUUGUACUGGCUAGUCCUCCAGUGCAAUGUUGAAUAAAUGGCAUGUGAAAGAGACAGAGACAGAGAGAUAGAGUUUAAAAAUAUAAAUCUUGGGGUUGGGGCGAUAGCUCAUUGGUCGAGUGCUUGCCUAGCACAUGUGAGGCCCUGGGUUCGAUCCUCAGCACCACAUACAAAUGAAUAAAU